GACGAACGCUGGCGGCGUGCUUAACACAUGCAAGUCGAACGGAAAGGCCCUGCUUUUGUGGGGUGCUCGAGUGGCGAACGGGUGAGUAACACGUGAGUAACCUGCCCUUGACUUUGGGAUAACUUCAGGAAACUGGGGCUAAUACCGGAUAGGAGCUCCUACUGCAUGGUGGGGGUUGGAAAGUUUCGGCGGUUGGGGAUGGACUCGCGGCUUAUCAGCUUGUUGGUGGGGUAGUGGCUUACCAAGGCUUUGACGGGUAGCCGGCCUGAGAGGGUGACCGGCCACAUUGGGACUGAGAUACGGCCCAGACUCCUACGGGAGGCAGCAGUGGGGAAUAUUGCACAAUGGGCGGAAGCCUGAUGCAGCAACGCCGCGUGCGGGAUGACGGCCUUCGGGUUGUAAACCGCUUUCGCCUGUGACGAAGCGUGAGUGAUGGUAAUGGGUAAAGAAGCACCGGCUAACUACGUG
This 468-nucleotide ribosomal RNA is filed under the name uncultured bacterium. RNAcentral describes it as "partial 16S ribosomal RNA". It matches the Rfam family "Bacterial small subunit ribosomal RNA", at positions 28 to 507 of the family's 1533-position model. The record is from RNAcentral.